Molecule: ribosomal RNA, 423 nt
Filed under: uncultured bacterium
Lineage: Bacteria
Description: bacterial SSU rRNA
Rfam family: Bacterial small subunit ribosomal RNA
Source: RNAcentral
AUUGAACGCUGGCGGCAUGCCUUACACAUGCAAGUCGAACGGCAGCACGGGAGCAAUCCUGGUGGCGAGUGGCGAACGGGUGAGUAAUAUAUCGGAACGUGCCCGGUCGUGGGGAUAACGUAGCGAAAGCUACGCUAAUACCGCAUACGAUCUACGGAUGAAAGCGGGGGAUCGCAAGACCUCGCGCGAUUGGAGCGGCCGAUAUCAGAUUAGGUAGUUGGUGAGGUAAAGGCUCACCAAGCCGACGAUCUGUAGCUGGUCUGAGAGGACGACCAGCCACACUGGGACUGAGACACGGCCCAGACUCCUACGGGAGGCAGCAGUGGGGAAUUUUGGACAAUGGGCGCAAGCCUGAUCCAGCAAUGCCGCGUGCAGGAUGAAGGCCUUGGUUGUAACUAGCUUUUGUUACGGUAACGGAAACGG